AUACGGAGGGUGCAAGCGUUAUCCGGAAUCAUUGGGUUUAAAGGGUCCGCAGGCGGAUUAAUAAGUCAGUGGUGAAAUCCUCUCGCUCAACGAGAGAACUGCCAUUGAAACUGUUAGUCUUGAAUUCGGUCGAAGUAGGCGGAAUGUGUCAUGUAGCGGUGAAAUGCAUAGAUAUGACACAGAACACCGAUAGCGAAGGCAGCUUACUAGACCUGGAUUGACGCUCAUGGACGAAAGCGUGGGGAGCGAACAGGAUUAGAUACCCCAGUAGUCC
This 274-nucleotide ribosomal RNA is filed under the name uncultured bacterium. RNAcentral describes it as "partial 16S ribosomal RNA". It matches the Rfam family "Bacterial small subunit ribosomal RNA", at positions 523 to 796 of the family's 1533-position model. The record is from RNAcentral.